UAACGCUGGCUGUGUGCCUAAUACAUGCAUGUUGAACGAAGCAGUAUUUAUAUUGACUUAGUAGCGAAUGGGUGAGUAACACGUACCUAACCUACCUUUAAGAUUGGGAUAACUACUGGAAACAGUUGCUAAUACCAAAUAACAAAUUUUUUCGCAUGAAAAAAUUUUAAAAGAAGCAUAAGAGGUAACUCCGCUUCACUUAAAAAUGGGGGUGCGGAACAUUAGCUAGUUGGUAGGGUAAUGGCCUACCAAGGCGAUGAUGUUUAGCCGGGCCGAGAGGCUGUACGGCCACACUGGGACUGAGAUACGGCCCAGACUCCUACGGGAGGCAGCAGUAGGGAAUUUUCCACAAUGAGCGAAAGCUUGAUGGAGCGACACAGCGUGCAGGAUGAAGGCCUUCGGGUUGUAAACUGCUGUGGUAAGGAAAGAAAAAAUAGGGUAGGAAAUGACCCUUAAUUGACGGUACCUUAUUAGAAAGCGAUGGCUAACUAUGUGCCAGCAGCCGCGGUAAUACAUAGGUCGCAAGCGUUAUCCGGAAUUAUUGGGCGUAAAGAGUUCGUAGGUGGUUUGUUAAGUCUGAAGUUAAAUCCAAAAGCUCAACUUUUGCCCGCUUUAGAUACUAGCAAACUGGAAUUGCAAAGAGGUUAGCGGAAUUCCUAGUGAAGCGGUGGAAUGCGUAGAUAUUAGGAAGAACACCAAUAGGCGAAGGCAGCUAACUGGUUGUAUAUUGACACUGAGGAACGAAAGCGUGGGGAGCAAACAGGAUUAGAUACCCUGGUAGUCCACGCCGUAAACGAUGAUCAUUAGUUGGUAGAAAAAUUUACCGAUGCAGCUAACGCAUUAAAUGAUCCGCCUGAGUAGUAUACUCGCAAGAGUGAAACUUAAAGGAAUUGACGGGGACCCGCACAAGCGGAGGAGCAUGUGGUUUAAUUUGAAGAUACGCGUAGAACCUUACCCACUCUUGACAUCCCUUGCAAAGUUAUAGAGAUAUAAUGGAGGCUAACAAGGUGACAGAUGGUGCAUGGUUGUCGUCAGCUCGUGUCGUGAGAUGUUAGGUUAAGUCCUGCAACGAGCGCAACCCUUGUCUUUAGUUACUAACAUUAAGUUGAGAACUCUAGAGAGACUGCCAACGAAAGUUGGAGGAAGGUGGGGACGACGUCAAAUCAUCAUGCCUCUUACGAGUGGGGCAACACACGUGCUACAAUGGUUGGUACAAAGAGAUGCGACAUAGUGAUAUCAAGCAAAUCUCAAAAAACCAAUCUCAGUUCGGAUUGAAGUCUGCAACUCGACUUCAUGAAGUCGGAUUCGCUAGUAAUCGCAGAUCAGCUAUGCUGCGGUGAAUACGUUCUCGGGUCUUGUACACACCGCCCGUCACACCAUGGGAGUUGGUAAUACCCGAAGAUGGUUAGUUAACCUCGGAGGCAACUAUCUAAGGUAGGACUGAUGACUGGGGUGAAGUCGUAACAAGGUAUCCCUACGAGAACGUGGGGAUGGAUCACCUCCUUUCUACGGAGUACACAUACAUCUUAUUAAAUUUGGUUAUUUAAAAAUCCUUUUAUAAUAAAAGGUUAUUAUGGGCUUGCCAAAUAGUUUUGUAUCUAGUUUUGAAAGAUUUAAUUUUUUCUUUCUAAUAAUAAAUGUUUUAAUAUAGUUCUUUGAAAACUGAAUAGCAAAUAUUGAAAUUUUAAUUUCAUAAUAUUUCAACAACGACAUUACAACACCGAGUCUAACUGUUUUAUUGAACAGUUAGCUUAAAAUAGAUACCUUAGAUAUAUAAAUCUAAAACAAUAGGCUUAAAAAAUAAGUUAUAUUAGCUUUUAAAUAAGUAAGAGUAUAUAGUGGAUGCCUUGGGUCUGGAAGUCGAUGAAGGACGUGAUUACCUGCGAUAAGCCUCGUGGAGCUGGAAUACGCUAUGAUACGGGGAUUUCCGAAUGGGGGAACCUAACUAGAUAAACUCUAGUUGAUUUAUAAUGAAUACAUAGUUAUAAAUGCGAGACACCUUGUGAAUUGAAACAUCUUAGUAGCAAGAGGAAAAGAAAAUAAAUAAUGAUUUCGUUAGUAGUGGCGAGCGAAUGCGAAAGAGCCCAAACCAUCAUUUUGAUGGGGUUGUAGGACAUUCUACAUAAAGUUACAAAAUUUUAUUAUAGUUGAAAAAGUUGGAAAGCUUUAACAUAGAAGGUGAUAUUCCUGUAAACGAAAUAAUAAAAUCUUUUGAAUGUAUCCUGAGUAGGGCGGGGCACGUGAAACCCUGUCUGAAUCUGCCGGGACCACCCGGUAAGGCUAAAUACUAACCAGACACCGAUAGUGAAACAGUA
Molecule: ribosomal RNA, 2315 nt
Filed under: Mesomycoplasma neurolyticum
Lineage: Bacteria; Bacillati; Mycoplasmatota; Mycoplasmoidales; Metamycoplasmataceae
Description: bacterial LSU rRNA
Rfam family: Bacterial small subunit ribosomal RNA (bases 1-1506)
Source: RNAcentral